RNAcentral lists this long non-coding RNA (1684 nucleotides) under Nicotiana tabacum (common tobacco). RNAcentral's name for it is "long non-coding RNA (NTAB_LNC002350)". Lineage: Eukaryota; Viridiplantae; Streptophyta; Magnoliopsida; Solanales; Solanaceae. The record is from RNAcentral.
GAACCUUGUUCUUAUGUCUUGUGAUAAGCUCGACGCUGUGCCAUUUGAGCUGGCUAAUAUAUCUAACCUUCACGAGAUGCGGUUGGAAAACACAAGCAAAGCGGUCAAAUCUGCAACAGAUAUACUGGAAAGCAAGACAUCUAAAAGCAUCAAAUUCAUCCUUACCAUAUUCCCUCCUGAAGCUGGAUCCAAGCCCACGCAGUGAACUGAAAGGUCAGUCGAAUUUAUUUGUAUUGAUAGUCUUCGCUAAACUCUUGUCUGCACGACUAUAUUCUUUUUCAGCUGGCAUACAUUAUCCAUGAAAUUUCAUAGUUCCCCUUACUUUCUGAAUUACACUCUGCUCAUGAUUCGACCAAGAUUCAGAUUAGAAAAUACCCUUCGUUUUAUUCUAAUAUAAAUUAAUCUCUUUCAUAGUAUACGAGUAUAUGGGUUAUUGUGAAUGAUUAUUAAUAGUUUCUUCAAAACCUCUCUGCAACAGUUUUCUUUUCUUUGUUUCCCUUUUUUUCAUUUACUAAUUUUGCUCCUUUUUACAGGAGAGAAUGGAGACAUUGAGGUUGUUGGAAAUCUGGGAUCAUGGAUAUGGUGCGACUCAUGUUUUCUGAUAAGAUUGUACCAAUAAAGAAAGCCUUUUGUUUAUACAAGCAUUGUCAUUUUUGAAAUAAAUGACAUAUGUUUAAAUAAAUGCACCCCGCUCUCGGCUUGAAACAAACACCCUUCCUGGGAUUCUUGCAGUUCGAGUUACGCAUCAUGUGGAGUAUUUUCUUUCUCAGUUGUAAAACUACUGUUUGCAUGUUUCCAAUUCUGUUUCCGUUGUAUUUGGUUUGUUUCAUUUUUGUAAGACUGUUGCUUUCAUCUAUCAUUGUUCUGUUGAAAGACAAAUGUCAUUCCAUUCCAAGCAAAUAAAGUGUUGUGUGUUUUAUUACAAACUUGGAAUCUUUCAAGUUCAGAUUAUGCAUCCAUAGGUUGCCAAAAUGAGUUUAACUAUGUACUGAAAGUGUCAUAGAUUUUUUACAGUAUUAGAUUACCUAAAAGGUAAUUACAGGUAAUUUUUGCUCAUAAAAAGUAGGAUUAGUAACUUAAGAAAUAAGGCAUAUUACCUGCUUGGCUCAACAGAUGAAUGAAGUGCAAAAACACAUGACCACGUCAAAGAGCAUUCUAUUUGUUUAAGAAGCGAUGUCACCCUGAAUCCCCCCUGCAGAAAGGAGGAAAAUAAGAAAAAGAAGAAAGAGAUUUUUACACUCUGUCACCUGAUCCAAACUUACAAAUAAAAUGAGCCACGUUUUUCAGCCCUUAUCCGAAUUUGCCCAUAUUGUAUAAUAUAAUUUCAAAGUUAGGUCACUUUCCCCUAUUUUCCUUCUUGCCCCCUCCUGAUCGUUAAUUGACAAACUCGAUUUAUUGUUGGUGUUUGGAGCUUAAAUCAUAGUUAGAGUACUGAUUUUGUAAGAUUGGGUUGAAAAUUCAAUUAGAAAGAUUAUCGACCUUUGCUAAAAAAGCUUGAAGAAGUAGAAUUUAAUAUUUGUGAGAAAUUUGGAGAGGAUCUUGUUUAUGCUUGUUGGAAAUAGUCCAAGGAAGUUGUUCUACAAAAUUUAAAAUCAUUUGGUGGAGAUUUGGAGUAAGUUUGAACAAGAACUGCAAUUGAACAAUAAUUGCAGAAAAGUUUGUCUCUAUAGCUCACCACAUGUUA